RNAcentral lists this ribosomal RNA (281 nucleotides) under uncultured Staphylococcus sp. Its description in RNAcentral is "partial 16S ribosomal RNA". It matches the Rfam family "Bacterial small subunit ribosomal RNA", at positions 505 to 785 of the family's 1533-position model. Lineage: Bacteria; Bacillati; Bacillota; Bacilli; Caryophanales; Staphylococcaceae. The record is from RNAcentral.
GUGCCAGCAGCCGCGGUAAUACGUAGGUGGCAAGCGUUAUCCGGAAUUAUUGGGCGUAAAGCGCGCGUAGGCGGUUUUUUAAGUCUGAUGUGAAAGCCCACGGCUCAACCGUGGAGGGUCAUUGGAAACUGGAAAACUUGAGUGCAGAAGAGGAAAGUGGAAUUCCAUGUGUAGCGGUGAAAUGCGCAGAGAUAUGGAGGAACACCAGUGGCGCAGGCGACUUUCUGGUCUGUAACUGACGCUGAUGUGCGAAAGCGUGGGGAUCAAACAGGAUUAGAUAC